RNAcentral lists this ribosomal RNA (253 nucleotides) under uncultured bacterium. RNAcentral's name for it is "partial 16S ribosomal RNA". It matches the Rfam family "Bacterial small subunit ribosomal RNA", at positions 524 to 776 of the family's 1533-position model. The record is from RNAcentral.
UACGUAGGAUGCAAGCGUUGUCCGGAAUUAUUGGGCGUAAAGAGCGCGCAGGCGGUUCGUCAAGUCAGAUGUGAAAUAUCCCGGCUUAACCGGGAGGGGCCAUUUGAAACUGACGGACUAGAGUGGAGCAGAGGACAGUGGAAUUCCCGGUGUAGUGGUGAAAUGCGUAGAUAUCGGGAGGAACACCAGUGGCGAAGGCGACUGUCUGGGCUUUAACUGACGCUGAGGCGCGAAGGCCGGGGGAGCAAACAGG